This 166-nucleotide ribosomal RNA is filed under the name Piper hispidum. RNAcentral's name for it is "5.8S ribosomal RNA". It matches the Rfam family "5.8S ribosomal RNA". From Rfam's summary of the family: 5.8S ribosomal RNA (5.8S rRNA) is a component of the large subunit of the eukaryotic ribosome. It is transcribed by RNA polymerase I as part of the 45S precursor that also contains 18S and 28S rRNA. Lineage: Eukaryota; Viridiplantae; Streptophyta; Magnoliopsida; Piperales; Piperaceae. The record is from RNAcentral.
UCAAUACGACUCUCGGCAACGGAUAUCUCGGCUCUCGCAUCGAUGAAGAACGUAGCGAAAUGCGAUACUUGGUGUGAAUUGCAGAAUCCCGUGAACCAUCGAGUCUUUGAACGCAAGUUGCGCCCAAGGCCUUUCGGUCGAGGCACAUCUGCUUGGGCGUUAAACA